GACGAACGCUGGCGGCGUGCCUAAUACAUGCAAGUCGAACGCUGAAGAGCGGAGCUUGCUCUUCUUGGGUGAGUUGCGCACGGGUGAGUAACGCGUAGGUCACCUGCCUUGUAGCGGGGGAUAACUAUUGGACACGAUAGCUAAUACCGCAUAACAAUGGAUGACACGGUGCAGUUAUUUGAAUGGGGCCAUUGUUCCACUACAAGAUGGACCUGCGGUGUAUUGGCUAGUAGGUGAGGUAAUGGCUCACGUAGGCGACGUAACGUAGCCAACCUGAGCGGACGGUCGGCCAGACUGGGACUGUGACACGGCCCAGAGGCCUACGGGAGGCAGCCAGAGGGAAACGGCGGCAAGGGGGGCAACCCUGAGCAAGCAAGGCCGCGGGAGGGUAGAAGGAUGCCGGAUCGGAAAGCUCGGUUGUAAGUCAAGAACGGGCUUGAGAGUGGAAAGUACACACAGUGACGGUAGCGGAUCAGAAAGGAACGGCUAACUACGUG
This 497-nucleotide ribosomal RNA is filed under the name uncultured bacterium. Its description in RNAcentral is "partial 16S ribosomal RNA". It matches the Rfam family "Bacterial small subunit ribosomal RNA", at positions 28 to 507 of the family's 1533-position model. The record is from RNAcentral.